CAGCCGAGCGGUGGACCUACCCCAAAUCCUCCGCUUGUGCCUUCCGAGAAGAGCCGCAGAAACCAGAAAUCUGUCGCCACUCCCCCAUGAAGGCGACGCCGGGCUCGGACGGGCCCACAGUGCAACCCCGACCACACCGGCGGCAAUAACCCCUACAUCACCGCCCCCACAUCUUCUCAGGUCCAGAUCGGCGGCGACCGCUUCCUCUCCUAGCAGAUACGGCCUCCCAUGGUGGUGGCGGAACACAACGCCUGAGGAGAUUAUUCUGAAACUUGCGGAACUACAGGAGACAGACCAUGUCCGGGAAUUUGUGACUAAUCCCCAAUUUUCUUGCAGGCUAGCAGAUCUGUCGGUCGCUUGAGCAUCAAUUCACAUCCAUCCAAUGCAGACUAGCAGUAGUUGGAUCAUACUAUAUGCCAGGAUUAUGUACUUAGUCUGAUUAUGUUGUACAUUUUUAAAUUUUAUUUGUCAUAGAUCAUAGUAAAACAUUGAUUUUGUUUCUGAUAUCUUAACUUAGAUUCAUGUUAAGAUACUUCAGUAUAUUCUCGUAAAUCAUAUAGACCAGUCAUCCAGUAACCAAUUGCACUUUAUGGUAUAUUCACUGUAAGGAAUUCUCGUAAAUCAUAUCGACCAAUCAUCUAGUAACUAGUUUUGCUUUA
This is a long non-coding RNA of Sorghum bicolor (sorghum), 659 nucleotides long. RefSeq lists it as uncharacterized. Lineage: Eukaryota; Viridiplantae; Streptophyta; Magnoliopsida; Poales; Poaceae. The transcript has 3 exons. The record is from RefSeq and is a predicted model, not a curated record.